This 496-nucleotide ribosomal RNA is filed under the name uncultured bacterium. RNAcentral's name for it is "partial 16S ribosomal RNA". It matches the Rfam family "Bacterial small subunit ribosomal RNA", at positions 28 to 507 of the family's 1533-position model. The record is from RNAcentral.
GAUGAACGCUGGUGGCGUGCCUAAUACAUGCAAGUCGAGCGAACGGACGAGAAGCUUGCUUCUCUGAUGUUAGCGGCGGACGGGUGAGUAACACGUGGAUAACCUACCUAUAAGACUGGGAUAACUUCGGGAAACCGGAGCUAAUACCGGAUAAUAUUUUGAACCGCAUGGUUCAAAAGUGAAAGACGGUCUUGCUGUCACUUAUAGAUGGAUCCGCGCUGCAUUAGCUAGUUGGUAAGGUAACGGCUUACCAAGGCAACGAUGCAUAGCCGACCUGAGAGGGGAUCGGCCACACUGGAACUGAGACACGGUCCAGACUCCUACGGGAGGCAGCAGUAGGGAAUCUUCCGCAAUGGGCGAAAGCCUGACGGAGCAACGCCGCGUGAGUGAUGAAGGUCUUCGGAUCGUAAAACUCUGUUAUUAGGGAAGAACAUAUGUGUAAGUAACUGUGCACAUCUUGACGGUACCUAAUCAGAAAGCCACGGCUAACUACGUG